GCCAGGCAUGGUGAUGCAUGCCUGUAAUCCCAGCUACUCAGGAGGCUGAGGCAGGAGAAUCACUUGAACCCAGGAGGCGGAGGUUGCAGUGAGCCAAAAUUGAGUCACUUCACUCUAGCCUGGGUGACAGAGUGAGACUCUGUCUUAA
Molecule: non-coding RNA, 148 nt
Filed under: Homo sapiens (human)
Lineage: Eukaryota; Metazoa; Chordata; Mammalia; Primates; Hominidae
Source: Rfam by way of RNAcentral